RNAcentral lists this ribosomal RNA (253 nucleotides) under uncultured bacterium. RNAcentral describes it as "partial 16S ribosomal RNA". It matches the Rfam family "Bacterial small subunit ribosomal RNA", at positions 524 to 776 of the family's 1533-position model. The record is from RNAcentral.
UACGGAGGGUGCAAACGUUGCUCGGAAUCAUUGGGCGUAAAGCGUACGCAGGCGGCUUUGCAAGCCAGGUGUGAAAUCCCCGGGCCUAACCUGGGAACUGCAUUUGUGACUGCAUGGCUAGAGUUUGUCAGAGGGGGGUGGAAUUCCACGUGUAGCAGUGAAAUGCGUAGAUAUGUGGAGGAACACCGAUGGCGAAGGCAGCCCCCUGGGAUGUGACUGACGCUCAUGUACGAAAGCGUGGGGAGCAAACAGG